CCACUUUUCGGAUGGUAUGCUUAAAGAUGAGCUUGCGCCACAUUAGUUUGUUGGUGGGGUAAUGGCCUACCAAGACGAUGAUGUGUAGCUGGACUGAGAGGUCGAACAGCCACAUUGGGACUGAGACACGGCCCAAACUCCUACGGGAGGCAGCAGUAGGGAAUUUUCGGCAAUGGAGGAAACUCUGACCGAGCAACGCCGCGUGAACGAUGAAGUAUUUCGGUAUGUAAAGUUCUUUUAUUGAAGAAGAAAAAAUAGUGGAAAAACUAUCUUGACGUUAUUCAAUGAAUAAGCCCCGGCUAACUAUGUGCCAGCAGCCGCGGUAAGACAUAGGGGGCGAGCGUUAUCCGGAAUUAUUGGGCGUAAAGGGUGCGUAGGCGGUUAGGAAAGUCUAUAAUUUAAUUUCAGUGCUUAACGCUGUCUUGUUAUAGAAACUACCUUGACUAGAGUUAGAUAGAGGCAAGCGGAAUUCCAUGUGUAGCGGUAAAAUGUGUAAAUAUAUGGAGGAACACCAGAAGCGUAGGCGGCUUGCUGGGUCUUGACUGACGCUGAGGCACGAAAGCGUGGGUAGCAAACAGGAUUAGAUACCCUGGUAGUCCACGCCGUAAACGAUGAGUACUAAGUGUCGGGAUAAAACUCGGUACUGAAGUUAACACAUUAAGUACUCCGCCUGAGUAGUACGUACGCAAGUAUGAAACUUAAAGGAAUUGACGGGACUCCGCACAAGCGGUGGAUCAUGUUGUUUAAUUCGAAGAUACACGAAAAAUCUUACCAGGUCUUGACAUGCUCUGCAAAGCUAUAGAAAUAUAGUGGAGGUUAUCAGGGACACAGGUGGUGCAUGGUUGUCGUCAGUUCGUGUCGUGAGAUGUUAGGUUAAGUCCUAAAACGAGCGCAACCCUUGUCGUUAGUUACCAGCACGUAAUGGUGGGCACUUUAACGAGACUGCCAAUUAAACAUUGGAGGAAGGUGAGGAUUACGUCAAAUCAUCAUGCCCCUUAUGAUCUGGGCUACAAACGUGAUACAAUGGCUGUUACAAAGAGUAGCUGAAGCGCGAGUUUUUAGCCAAUCUCAAAAAAGCAGUCUCAGUUCGGAUUGAAGUCUGUAACUCGACUUCAUGAAGUUGGAAUCGCUAGUAAUCGCGAAUCAGCAUGUCCCGGGGGAAUACGUUCCCGGGGGUUUGGACCCACUCCCCCCGUCAAA
RNAcentral lists this ribosomal RNA (1200 nucleotides) under 'Quercus humboldtii' phytoplasma. RNAcentral's name for it is "bacterial SSU rRNA". It matches the Rfam family "Bacterial small subunit ribosomal RNA", at positions 202 to 1401 of the family's 1533-position model. The record is from RNAcentral. Lineage: Bacteria; Bacillati; Mycoplasmatota; Mollicutes; Acholeplasmatales; Acholeplasmataceae.